Long non-coding RNA from Bos taurus (domestic cattle), 1550 nucleotides. The record is from Ensembl. NCBI's taxonomy places the organism in Eukaryota, Metazoa, Chordata, Mammalia, Artiodactyla, Bovidae.
GCGGGUGGUGGGGGGCGGAGGCGGUGGGGCUGCGGGUCGCAGAUCUCUUGGGACCACUCACAGCGCCGGGGGGCCACUCUGCGUUGCAGAGAAAUGGAGGGCUCAGGAGGUAGACUCCGGGAUGCGGCCCAUCCCGGGAAAGCGUCGAGGACCCCGCGGCUCGCCUAUCCUCCCCACCGACCCGGUCAGCGGGCGGACCUGGCGGCGCCGGGCCCUGAGCUUCAGAAGAGGCGCCCAGGAGAGGGACAGAAAGAUCGAGGGGUUCUCUGGUCCCUAAGCCUCCGGGCUGCCCCGCUUGCCGGCCAGCCACAUCCGUUAGCGGCUCUUUGUGACACCUACACCACUUCACAGAGGCGGUGAGAACAGGGUUUGAAUUUCAGCUUUCUUGUCACAAGCCGCCUGUUCUUUUGACCUGGCUGAAUCUGCUAGUCCAUCAGACCAUCCUUCCUCGCCCAGAUCUGGAGUUCUGGAGCAGUUUGGCUGAGCAGUCCUGAUAUGGGAUUUCUCAGGAGACUGCAGUCAAGAUAUCAGCAGGGGCUGCAUUAUUAUCUGAAGGCUUGACUGGGGCCACUUCCAAAAUGGUGCCCUCACGUGGCUGUCAAUAAGAGGCCUGAGUUUCUCUCCCCUGUGGGACUGUCUCCCAGAGCUGCUUGAGUGUCCGUAUGACAUGGUAGCUGGCUUCCCUCAGAGAAGUGUCAAGAGAACACUGAAGCAACAAUUCCUUUUAUGACCUAGCUUCAGAAAUCAUAGUCAUCUCUGCCACAUUCUCUUAGAGGUCAGUCACUAAGUUCUGCCUCUCAUUCCAGAGGAGGGCAAUUAGGCUCCAUUUUUUUUUUUUUUUUUUGGCUGCUGUAGCAUAUGGGAAUCAAACCCAUGGCCCCUGCAGUGGAAGCGUGGAGCCCCAACCACUGGACCACCAGGGAAUUCUCUAGAUUCCACCUUUUAAAGGUAGGAAGGUCACAGAACUCCUGGAUAUAUUUUGAAACCAUCAUAACAGGCAAUGAUAGAGCUGAGGAGCCAAACAAGAUUGUGAGACAAAGGCAUAGAUUAUCAACAGCAGAAAGAUAUUAAUCCACUUAGGACUAGAGAAAGGAAGGGAGGAAGUAGGACUAUCAGAGCCCAGGAGCCAGGACUAUCCAGUAGAAACUGGACUUUCAGAGGAUCUGGAGCCUCGAACAUGCAGUCACUGGCAGAGAUGCUUCCCAAAGCAGCAAGGGAGACAAAAAUGCCCUGGCUUCUUCCUUCCUCGGCCCUCCAGUCUUCCACCAGUGCCUGCGACUGGCUGAACCUACCAGGAAGCAGAGUGAAAGGGAGCCUGGGAAACAGAUUUCCUUGUGAUACAAAGGUGGGCAGAGAGGGCCAGGAUGGGUGUGAGAUGAAGGUCCUAGCACGGCACCUCCCAGGACGGCUUACUUGAUUAGGUGGUGACAUUAUGGCUAAACUUGUCUUGAAUUUUCAUUUUUAUAUCAAUAUUGUUCUUCAUAAAGUAACAUUUAAAAAUUGAAAAAUGAAAAAAAGAAAAGAAAAAUGAAAGAAAAUUCUCUAGUCUC